Molecule: ribosomal RNA, 301 nt
Filed under: uncultured bacterium
Lineage: Bacteria
Description: partial 16S ribosomal RNA
Rfam family: Bacterial small subunit ribosomal RNA
Source: RNAcentral
CAGCCGCCACGGGAAUACGAAGGGGGCUAGCGUUGUUCGGAAUUACUGGGCGUAAAGCGCACGUAGGCGGUUAUUUAAGUCAGGGGUGAAAUCCCAGAGCUCAACUCUGGAACUGCCUUUGAUACUGGGUAUCUUGAGUAUGGUAGAGGUGAGUGGAAUUCCGAGUGUAGAGGUGAAAUUCGUAGAUAUUCGCAAGAACACCAGUGGCGAAGGCGGCUCACUGGCCCGAUACUGACGCUGAGGCACGAAAGCGUGGGGAGCAAACAGGAUUAGAUACCCGCGUAGUCCCUGUCUCUUAUAC